This 580-nucleotide ribosomal RNA is filed under the name uncultured Stachybotrys. Its description in RNAcentral is "eukaryotic LSU rRNA". The stretch from base 191 to 344 matches the Rfam family "5.8S ribosomal RNA". Lineage: Eukaryota; Fungi; Ascomycota. The record is from RNAcentral.
UCUCCGUUGGUGAACCAGCGGAGGGAUCAUUACCGAGUUUACAACUCCCAAACCCUUAUGUGAACCGUACCUAUCGUUGCUUCGGCGGGAACGCCCCGGCGCCCUGCGCCCGGAUCCAGGCGCCCGCCGGAGACCCCAAACUCUUGUGUUUUUUCAGUAUUCUCUGAGUGGCAAACGCAAAAUAAAUCAAAACUUUUAACAACGGAUCUCUUGGCUCUGGCAUCGAUGAAGAACGCAGCGAAAUGCGAUAAGUAAUGUGAAUUGCAGAAUUCAGUGAAUCAUCGAAUCUUUGAACGCACAUUGCGCCCGUUAGCAUUCUAGCGGGCAUGCCUGUCCGAGCGUCAUUUCAACCCUCAGGGUCCCCGUUCCGGCGGGGAACCUGGUGUUGGGGAUCGGCCCGCCCCGUGCGGCGCCGUCCCCCAAAUUCAGUGGCGGUCUCGCUGCAGCCUCCCCUGCGUAGUAGUUACAACCUCGCAUCGGAGCUCAGCGCGGCCACGCCGUAAAACCCCCGACUUUCUGAACGUUGACCUCGGAUCAGGUAGGAAUACCCGCUGAACUUAAGCAUAUCAAUAAGCGGAGG